GACGAACGCUGGCGGCGUGCUUAACACAUGCAAGUCGAACGGAAAGGCCCUGCUUUUGGGGGGUGCUCGAGUGGCGAACGGGUGAGUAACACGUGAGUAACCUGCCCUUGACUUUGGGAUAACUUCAGGAAACUGGGGCUAAUACCGGAUAGGAGCUCCUGCUGCAUGGUGGGGGUUGGAAAGUUUCGGCGGUUGGGGAUGGACUCGCGGCUUAUCAGCUUGUUGGUGGGGUAGUGGCUUACCAAGGCUUUGACGGGUAGCCGGCCUGAGAGGGUGACCGGCCACAUUGGGACUGGGAUACGGCCCAGACUCCUACGGGAGGCAGAAGUGGGGAAUAUUGAACAAUGGGCGGAAGCCUGAUGCAGCAACGCCGCGUGCGGGAUGACGGCCUUCGGGUUGUAAACCGCUUUCGCCUGUGACGAAGCGGGAGUGACGGUAAUGGGUAAAGAAGCACCGGCUAACUACGUG
Molecule: ribosomal RNA, 468 nt
Filed under: uncultured bacterium
Lineage: Bacteria
Description: partial 16S ribosomal RNA
Rfam family: Bacterial small subunit ribosomal RNA
Source: RNAcentral